GACGAACGCUGGCGGCGUGCUUAACACAUGCAAGUCGAACGGAAAGGCCCUGCUUUUGUGGGGUGCUCGAGUGGCGAACGGGUGAGUAACACGUGAGUAACCUGCCCUUGACUUUGGGAUAACUUCAGGAAACUGGGGCUAAUACCGUAUAGCAGCUCCUGCUGCAUUGUGGGGGUUGGAAAGUUUCGGCGGUUGGGGAUGGACUCGCGGCUUAUCAGCUUGUUGGUUGGGUAGUGGCUUACCAAGGCUUGGACGGGUAGCCGGCCUGAGAGGGUGACCGGCGACAUUGGGACUGAGAUACGGACCAGACUCCUACGGGAGGCAGCAGUGGGGAAUAUUGCACAAUGGGCGGAAGCCUGAUGCAGCAACGCCGGGUGCGGGAUGACGGCCUUCGGGUUGUAAACCGCUUUCGCCUGUGACGAAGCGUGAGUGACGGUAAUGGGUAAAGAAGCACCGGCUAACUACGUG
RNAcentral lists this ribosomal RNA (468 nucleotides) under uncultured bacterium. RNAcentral describes it as "partial 16S ribosomal RNA". It matches the Rfam family "Bacterial small subunit ribosomal RNA", at positions 28 to 507 of the family's 1533-position model. The record is from RNAcentral.